AUUGAACGCUGGCGGCAUGCUUUACACAUGCAAGUCGAACGGCAGCGCGGGCUUCGGCCUGGCGGCGAGUGGCGAACGGGUGAGUAAUACAUCGGAACGUGCCCAGUAGUGGGGGAUAGCUCGGCGAAAGCCGGAUUAAUACCGCAUACGACCUGAGGGUGAAAGCGGGGGAUCUUCGGACCUCGCGCUAUUUGAGCGGCCGAUGGCAGAUUAGCUAGUUGGUGGGGUAAAGGCCUACCAAGGCGACGAUCUGUAGCUGGUCUGAGAGGACGACCAGCCACACUGGGACUGAGACACGGCCCAGACUCCUACGGGAGGCAGCAGUGGGGAAUUUUGGACAAUGGGCGAAAGCCUGAUCAAGCAAUGCCGCGUGUGUGAUGAAGGCCUUCGGGUUGUAAAGCACUUUUGGCGGGAACGAAAAGGACUGUGCCAAUACCACGGUUCGAUGACGGUACCCGCAGAAUAAGCACCGGCUAACUACGUG
Molecule: ribosomal RNA, 484 nt
Filed under: uncultured bacterium
Lineage: Bacteria
Description: partial 16S ribosomal RNA
Rfam family: Bacterial small subunit ribosomal RNA
Source: RNAcentral